This 176-nucleotide non-coding RNA is filed under the name Gammaproteobacteria bacterium. Its description in RNAcentral is "6S RNA". It matches the Rfam family "6S / SsrS RNA". Rfam says of the family: E. coli 6S RNA was the first non coding RNA to be sequenced, but its function was unknown until recently. Lineage: Bacteria; Pseudomonadati; Pseudomonadota; Gammaproteobacteria. The record is from RNAcentral.
GUUAACCUGGGUUGUACGCCAGUCGGUAAUGUCCCUGAGCCGAUAAUUUUUUUCUAGGGAGAUACAAAACAUACGGUGCGCAUGUCCGUCUUCGGAAAGCCUAAUGUGUGUUUGCGUUUCCCGCCUUGAACCAUUGGGUUCAAGGACCAAACUGACAGCGGCAACCUGGGGCUUUG